GACGAACGCUGGCGGCGUACCUAAUACAUGCAAGUCGAGCGGACUUUCAAGAAGCUUGCUUUUUGAAAGUUAGCGGCGGACGGGUGAGUAACACGUGGGCAACCUGCCUGUAAGACGGGGAUAACUCCGGGAAACCGGGGCUAAUACCGGAUAAUAUCUUUCUUCGCAUGAAGGAAGGUUGAAAGGCGGCGCAAGCUGCCGCUUGCAGAUGGGCCCGCGGCGCAUUAGCUAGUUGGUGAGGUAACGGCUCACCAAGGCGACGAUGCGUAGCCGACCGGGGAGGGUGAUCGGCCACACUGGGACUGAGACACGGCCCAGACUCCUACGGGAGGCAGCAGUAGGGAAUCUUCCGCAAUGGACGAAAGUCUGACGGAGCAACGCCGCGUGAGCGAAGAAGGUCUUCGGAUCGUAAAGCUCUGUUGUCAGGGAAGAACAAGUACCGUUCGAAUAGGGCGGUACCUUGACGGUACCUGACCAGAAAGCCACGGCUAACUACGUGCCAGCAGCCGCAGUAA
This 515-nucleotide ribosomal RNA is filed under the name uncultured bacterium. RNAcentral describes it as "partial 16S ribosomal RNA". It matches the Rfam family "Bacterial small subunit ribosomal RNA", at positions 28 to 523 of the family's 1533-position model. The record is from RNAcentral.